CCUACGGGAGGCAGCAGUAGGGAAUCUUGCGCAAUGGGCGAAAGCCUGACGCAGCGACGCCGCGUGAGGGAAGAAGGCCUUCGGGUUGUAAACCUCUUUCAGGAGGGACGAAGCCACUCGGGUUAAUAGCCUAGAGGGUGACGGUACCUCCAGAAGAAGCCCCGGCUAACUACGUGCCAGCAGCCGCGGUAAU
Molecule: ribosomal RNA, 193 nt
Filed under: uncultured bacterium
Lineage: Bacteria
Also listed under: 1 other name
Description: partial 16S ribosomal RNA
Rfam family: Bacterial small subunit ribosomal RNA
Source: RNAcentral